RNAcentral lists this long non-coding RNA (1497 nucleotides) under Taeniopygia guttata (zebra finch). RNAcentral's name for it is "lncRNA (ENSTGUG00000024538.1)". The record is from RNAcentral. Lineage: Eukaryota; Metazoa; Chordata; Aves; Passeriformes; Estrildidae.
GAAGUCUCUGGCUCGUUAGAUGCUUUUAUUUUUUUUUUCUUUUUCUGGCCGUCUCCAGUUACUUUUAGCCCGACCGUUCGUUGUCCCACCCUUCUUCCGUGCUGUACUGGCGCCUGGCGGGGUUUGGGCUCGUCCUCCCCCUCCGGGCUGCGGCUGCUCUGGGCGCCGCGGUUAACCGAGAGGACCACGGCGAGGGCGGCUCUGGGCGAGGUGACACGGGAAGUGCACACCAGGUAUGGCACACAACAUCCCGGCCCGGCACAGGGGAAGGCAACAGGAGCUGUUUCCUGGCGUGGGCCACCACCAGGUCCCGCUGGGCCACCACCUGGGCUGCUCUGACUGCGGCACCAGGGGAGAUGCUGCCUCCAGCUGCAGCCCCGUGUCUGAGCCCACCUGGGUAAGUCCCCACUGCCAGGGUGACCCCGAGCUGGCCUGGCCAAGGCUCCCCCAUCCUCACCCCCUGGGCCACGGCCACCUCCCGGCACCCAUCCAGCCCCGUCACACCAUCGCACCCUGUGCCCGUGCCAGGUGCCACGAGCUCCCACGGCGGGUGACCUUGUCCCAUGCGUGCCAGGCAGGGCUGGAAGGGAAGUCAACCCCUGGCUCUUAUCACAGUGAAGUCUGGGAAUAAGUUCAAGGACAAGGGAUAAAAAUAUUGCAACCAAACACAAACCGCACACCACACCCAGGCACCUUUCCCAUCUCCACAGCCCCUGCAGCGCUCCGUGACCACCUCCCAGCCUCGGCUGACUCCAGCUCCCCACGGCGCUCCUGUGACCGCCUCCUGGCGUGGCUGCAUCGUGGAACUGCCUUUCAUCACCUCCAGCACCCCUGAAAAGCGAUGAACAAUGACUUGGCAGAGCUUGCUGAUGCUGCUGGAGUUUCUGGGUGGUUGGGCUACAGUGCUGGCUCUGGUGGCACAGGGAGGGGUGGCAGAGGUGUGGACGAGCUUUCGUGUGAAACCAGUUACUCAGCUGGGAGAGCACCCGGGCUGGGGACGUGGGGAGGGCACAGGAGGAGGCUCCUCACCAUCCCCACCUCCCCUCCCUUCCCCAGUUCCCCCCUCGUGUGCUGGGGAGCGCACAGCAGAGCACACCUGCCCUGCUCUUUCCACACAGGGUGACAGCUGGGAAGCCCAAUGGAACACACCCGGAGGAGGGAAAUCUUUGACUGUUCCUUGGGGCAGGAGUCACACGGUGCAUCCUCCUCUGCUUGUCCCAAACACCAAAUCACCAAAGACAGGAGAAACGGCUCCAUCCUGGUGGCCUCCACGCUCUUGUGGGGAGUGUGACCUCCUGCAGUAUCUGCCUGCCCCUGCUGCUCCCAGGGCUCCAGCUGGGAAUUCUGAGAGGGAGCAGGGCCCGGGCAGUGCAGGCAGCGUGGGCUUGAGCCCUGCCCGUGACUACUGUCCUGAGGCCGUGGGACCCACAGGGCUCCACACCCACACCCAGAGCCCCAGGCUCUGCCUGCCCGGAGCUGCCCUGCACCACAACAACC